Manis javanica (Malayan pangolin) is the source of this 5032-nucleotide non-coding RNA. The record is from RefSeq and is a predicted model, not a curated record. NCBI's taxonomy places the organism in Eukaryota, Metazoa, Chordata, Mammalia, Pholidota, Manidae.
AACAUAAUGUUCCUCAUGUAAUAUGUAGAUUAAUGAUACAAAAAAAAAAAACCAAUGUGGUACUGGCAUAAGGACAUAUGCAUAGACUGAUAGGAAAUAACAGCCCCAAAAGAAACUGUCACAUAAAUGGUCAGUUGGUUUUUGACAGGGGAGCCAACCAUUCAAAGAGAAAAGGAGUCUUUUCAAUAAAGCAUUGAGAACACUGGAUAUCCACAUGGAAAAGAAGUUGAACCCUUACCUUAUACAAAAAUGAACUCAAAUCUAAACUUAAAACAAACAUAAACUUAAGUGCUAAAACUAUAAACCCCUUUCAAGAAAACAAGGCUAAUCUUUAUGACAUUGGACUUGGCAGAGUGAUUUCUUGAAUUUGACAUCAAAAGCACAGGGAAGAAAAGAAAAAAAUAGGUAAAUUACACUUCAUGAAAUUAAAAACUUUUAUGCAUCAAAGGACACUACCAACAAUGGAAAGAAACAAUUUCCAGAAGAAAAUACUUGGAAGUCAUAUUAUCUGAAAAGAGAUUGAUAUCCCAAAUAUAUAGAGAACUCCCACAACUCAACAACAAAAAGUCAACUGGCAAAGGAAUUGAAUAGACAUUUCUCUGAAGAGUGGAUACGAAUGGAAAAAGCACCAUAAGAAGAUGUUCAGCAUCAUUAAUCAUUAAGAGAAUGUAAAUCAAAACCACAGUGAGAUACCACUUCACACUGAUAAGGAUGGCUAUGAUCCAAAGCACUAAAGAUAACAAAUAUUUGCCAGGAUGUGGAGAAAUUGGAACACUUGAGCAUUGCUGAUGGGAAUAUAAAAUGGCACAGCUACUGUGGAGAACAGUUUGGCCGCUCCUCAGAAAGUUUAAUGUUGUGUUGUUAUGUGAUCCAGCAAUUCUAUUUCUAGGUCUGUGUUUGUAACACGAAUUUAGCAGUUGUACCCACAUGUUCAUAGCAGCAUUAUUUGCAAUUGUCAAAAGUCGGAAACAACUCAUGUCCAUUAAAAAAUGAAUGGAUGGACAAAAUGUGGUCUAUAGUACACAGAAUGGAGUAUUUCAGCCAUAAAAGGAAAUGAAAUUCUGAUGCAUACUACAACAUGAAUGAACCUUGAAAACAUUAUGCUAAGUGAACUAAGUAAAACACAAAAGGACAAAGAUACUGUGUGAUUCCACUUAAAUGAGGUAUCCAAAGUAGGCACAUUCUUAGAGACAGAAGGUAGAUGGAGGUUACAAAGGGCAGGGGAGGGAAUGAGGAAUUAGUGUGUAAUGGGUACAGAGUUACUGUUUGGGAUAAUGAAAGAAAGUUCUGGAAAUGGAUAGUGAUGAUAGUUGCACAGUACCCUGAAUGUACUUAAUGCCACUGAAUUAUAGGCUUAAAAAUGGGUAAUAUGGUAAAGUCAUGUAUAUAUAAGUUAUAUACAUAUUAUGUAUAAUAAACAUUUGCUUCUUCACUUAAGGCACUUUCAGCCUAAGUGAGCAUUGUGGAAAAAACAUACCACAAAACAGUAAGUAUGCCAAGAAAUCCAUUUAGUUGUGUUUUUCCAGGAAAAAAAUGGGUUUUCAUUAGGAGUUUUAAUAGCUGAUUUUCAUUGGAGAGGAAUACUUUGCAAGAAUUUAGUGUUUUAACACCUGAAAUUGUUUUUUUUCCCUCAAGCAUAUAGCAUCAACUCACAUGAAAAAUCACCUACUUUAGUAAAUGGAGCAAGUUAAUUGACAGUAAACAAAAUGUAUGUGUUUUAAUUUGUAAUGUUCCGCUUAGAAACCUCUCUUCUAGUAAGAGCAUUCUCUGUGAACUAUUGCACUUUUGUUUUACUCUCCACAGAAGAAUGCAGACUUCCCUAAUAAAUACUUUGAAAUGCAUUAAUUUAUAAGUGUUGUAUUUGUUAAAUUUGGAAUAAAAUGUAUCUUUAAAAGUUCUGAAAAAUGGGCAGUGGUGAUAGUUUCCUGUUUUGAAUGUACUUGAUGCCUCUCACUUGUAUGCUUAAAAAUUGUUUUAACCAUAAUGUUAUGUAUAAUUUACCACAUUGCAAAAAAAAACUAAAAUCUAGACCUUUGGUAUGAGCUAGAAAAAAGUUUAUACUCUUAAUUAAAAUUACAUUCUUUAAAAAAUAUUCUAAAUUUUAGUUUAUGUUGGAAUAAAUGAAAUUGUCAAAAACAUGAUAGAGUUGGAAUGAUGGUUCUCACCUGGGUCUUGGUUCUCCCCCAACUGCAGUGUGUAAUGCAUCUUGAAGACCGGCUACAGGAGCUAUACUUUAAGAGCAAAAUGCUGUCCGAGUACCUGAGGGGACAGAUGCGUGUUCAUGUCAAGGAGCUGGGAGUGGUUCUAGGGAUUGAAUCCAGUGAUCUUCCUCUUCUGGCUGCUGUAGCAAGCACUCACUCCCCAUAUGUUGCUCAGAUACUCCUUUAACAUAAAGGUUGUUAGAAAUUAACUUUGGUAGAAAGUUAAGCAGAAACCAACGAAGAAGAUACAACAUGCAUUUAUGGCAUUUCUUUUCCCUGUUAGAUUUUGAUCUGAAUGACUCAGUCACCUGGGUACAUUGCACUGCAUAUUGUGUUAUCAUUGAUGGCUUUUUCCUUUGACUAGACUUUUGGGGUGGUGGUAGAUUUUAACCCAGUAAAACUAAAACAGCAUAAAUAAUUUUGGGGAAAGCACUUGAAGAAGCCAAAGUGUAACUUAGAAAUUUCUACACAAUGAAUAACAUUGAGGAAUUUCACAUGCUCACUAAUGAUGUUGCCACAACUCAUAAAUCACAACAGAUACCUAAUGAUUGUAUGGCUGAGAAAUAGUCAUUUCAUUAGUUUUUUAUUCUUUAUUUCUAAGGUACAGAGUUGUAUAAAACUUUGUUUUAUUUUCAAUUCAAAAUAGUUAAUUUCUGGGUAUUUCUCAAAGUAUUUUAAAUAGCCUAUUAAUUCUAAUAAACUCAGAAUAGUGAGUGUAAAUGUGUGUUAUGUUAUCCACCCAAGUGUACAUAUGUACCUAUUUUUUGAAAAAACAGAUAAAAAUACAAGAUUGGUAAACAUGCAUUUUUAAAAAUAAUGUUUUCAACUAGUAUUAAUUGUAUAUAAUGUUGAAAUGUUACUUUCUGGUGAUUUUUCUGCUUCACAUACCCUUAAAAUAUAAGUAAAAGCCAAUCUUUUUUAAAGGCUGAGGAAUGUAGAUUCCCAAAAUAAUAAUACUUUAUACCAUGUCUUUUGUUUAUAAGAUAAUUCUUAUUAAUAUUUACAUAUUCUCAUCUAACUUAAUAAAUGAAAAUUAGGAUUAAAAAUUGCACCAAAGCAUUGGCAAAAAUAAUACUAUUUUCUUUAAAAGUGCUCAGGUAGCCGAGGCCCUUGCUUUCGGUAUCAGCCCUUCUUGAACCCAUAGGAAUUGUUUCACUACUUCAUAAUAUUUAAUUUACUCUAAUAGAACUCAUUAACUCUUAAAAUUAUUAUUUUUUUCUAAUAGCCCCUCCCAGAAGCUAGAUAUUUCAAAGAUUUCUACUUUUCAGUUAUUAUUUUUGUAUAUACCAUAGAGUGUUGAUUGUGAGAAAAGCUAAUGUGGAACCAAACUCUUGUAAGUAAUGUAAAUAAGAAAGGUGGGUAAGUCAAAGUUUUCAAUAUGCUGUACUACCUCAGUUUACUUGAAUACUACAUUAUAGUUUAUUCUUUACUUACCUAAGGUACUUUUAAUGCUAGAAGUGAACUUUUGUUUCUGCUUUCAUGAACUGUUUUCAUCAUAACUGAUUGUCAGCUUAAAAAAAAGAAAACUUACUGCUUAUUCUGUUACUAGAUACAUUUACUGUAUAAUAAACACAUCUAUUCUUGCUGUUUGAAUUUUCAGUAAUUAAGGAAGAUUUGUGUGGUUUGUUUAGUCUUUGACCUUGAAUUUAUAGCACUGGGUCACAUUUUGCCUUGCUCUUUAUGUAUUCAAGAAAUCUCCAGCCAGAAUAGAGGUUGUGUUUUAAUGGAAUGUAAAUCUGAAAUUGGUGUGCCUGCAAUCACUUCGGCUCUUUUGUCCUAUAAGUUAGACCCAGUUAGUACCUAAGUUUCCCAUAAAUGACUUGCUGCCAGAGAGUGUUGAUGAAUAUAUUUUCUCUGGCUUAUUUUAUUCCAUUAAUUAAUGAAAUUCUUCUCUUACAUUGUUAGGAAUUCUAUGAAGCAAUCUCUUUGCCAGAAUUCAGAAUAUAGAAAAGUUUGUAUGUGGGCCAUUGUACAUUAUUUUUUAAACUGAGUUCAGAGGGAUACAUAGCAGGUAGAUAAUGUCUGUUUUUGCUUGUUUUCUUUUUUUAAUCAAGCAUCAAACUAUUCACAGCCCUAUCUAUUUGAAAUCUAAUAAUUACCAUUUAGGAAGUCUAGUCUUCUAUAAAUGGGUGACUCAUGCUACUGUUUUUCUUAAAACUAACUUUUGCUUGGAAGAAAAAGGCCUAUAGUUUCUUACAGAAUCAUUAAUCUUAUAGGAUUCCUGAGUUUUGUAAUUCCCAACCCUUCUGUAAUUUCUGCUCCCUUUAUUAUAGUCAUUCUUCCCUUACAUAAAGCCCAAGGAAUGAGCUGCUACUUCUUCAAAGUGUGGUCAUUAGGAUGAAGGAAAAAAGAGUUUUGGCUUGUUCAAAAUAAAUUUUCAACUUCUUAUGGUACAGACAAAUGUGUUUUACGUAUUUAAAAAAGCUGUUUGUUGCAACAGGAAAUGAAAAAGGGAUCUUUUAUGUUACAGAUUUAAAGCUAGUAUUUCCUUACACAUAAACUAAUUGGUUUGAUAUUGAAUAUCCCUGGCUUUUAUUAAUAUGUCUUAAUUUGAGUUUGAAAAUGUUGGAUGUGCAAUAAACAUAUUAACAGAUUUCAUUCUGUUGCAAUUGCCAUACACUGGGGAUGAUCACUUUAAGAAAGAUUUCACACAAUGCCUACUUUUGGUAGAUAUCAUGAGACUUCUUUCUCUAAGUUAUUUAGAUGGUGGGAUAUGUAAAAUGUACAUACUUGAUCCUUGUUCUGUAUACAUUUCUCAAGUGUACACCUGUAUUAUAAUAACCUCCCAGUUCUAGGGGAAAUUUGUGCAAUAAAUACACAUGUCAUUUUAA